GCGUGAGCCACCAUGCCUAGCCUAAUUUUUUUGUUUUUUAUUUUGUGUUGAGAAAGACAGGGUCUCACUCUAUUGCCCAGGCUAAGGUGCAGCAGCAUGAUCAUCACUCACUGCAGCCUCGACCUCCUGAGCUCAAGUGAUCCUCCCACCUCAGCCUCCCAAAGGGCUGGGAUCACAGGCAUCACCCACGGCUCCAGGCUGCCUUCCCAUCUUCCACAAGCAUCAUUGAAUGAUGUCUUCUUUUUCUCUAACAGGGAGUUGCUGCUGGCGUGGAGUAAGCGGGAGCCAGGGAGGCUGGUCAACACCUGCGUGCACAGGACAGACCCACAGCAAAGAAUCUUCCACCCACGGGCUGGGGUUGGGGCACCUGUUCCGGGGAAGCCCAAGUCCCUCUGUGACAGCCUUUCCCUCAUGCUCAGACAACAGCAAGAAGCCAAUUAAGAGCUGCCAAGGUUGAGUUUCUUUUGGGUGCCAGUCACUGGGUCAGGUAUUCCACAUUCCUCCAUUAGACUCUUCCAAAGGGCCUGGCGAGACAGCCAAUACGGUUCGGCUGUGUCCCCACCCAAAUCCCAUCUUGAGUUGUAGCUCCCGUAAUUUCCCCAUGUUGUGGGAGGGACCCUGUGGGAGGUAAUUGAAUCACGGAGGUGGUUUCCCCCACACUGUUCUCGUGGUAGUGAAUAAAUCUCACGAGAUCUGAUGGUUUUAUCAGGGGAAACCCCCUUGGGCCUGACUCUCAUUCUGUCUCUUGUCUGCCACCACGUGAGAUGCGCCUUCUGCCUUCCGCCAUGAUUGUGAGGCCUCCCCAGACACGUGAAACUGGCCUCUUCCCCUUGGAAGCAAGAGCACCAUGUGGUAAGGACAUUCAUGCCAUCUGUAGACCCUCCUUGUCAGGUCCCAGCCUGUAGCCGGCAUUAAGCAGGAAGGCUGAGGCGGGAAGCCGGUGAGAUGCACCAGCCCCAGCCGUGUCGUCUGCACCUGCAGGACAGAAGCCCCCGGGUAAGAUCCCUCUGCUCACCCAGUCAAGCCGGAACCGUGAGAGGUCAUGGCGAAUGGCCACUGUAAAUAACCCUCAGGAUGACAAAUGCUGAUUUGCACUUGGAGUCAGGACUCCUGGAGAGUCCACCCUCUUCUCCCUAUGCUGGUGGUUCCCCAGCCCGGGAAUGUCACACUGCACCAACCCAACCUGGGAAGCUCUGUCCCUGACUGUAAUGUCUGAGCCAAAAGUCAGGACGCAUGAUCUGGUGUGAGUUUGUUGUGGCACGACUCAGUGAAAGAAAUGCCAUCUGGGAACUGCGAUAGGACAUGGGUUGGAAUCCCUGGGACAUGUAUUGGCUUUUUUUUUUUUGUUUUUUUAAAGGAAAGUUCGGCCGGGCGCGG
Molecule: long non-coding RNA, 1377 nt
Filed under: Homo sapiens (human)
Lineage: Eukaryota; Metazoa; Chordata; Mammalia; Primates; Hominidae
Description: HSALNT0117829
Source: RNAcentral